Molecule: ribosomal RNA, 402 nt
Filed under: uncultured microorganism
Description: bacterial SSU rRNA
Rfam family: Bacterial small subunit ribosomal RNA
Source: RNAcentral
GAGUUUGAUCGUGGCUCAGAUUGAACGCUGGCGGCAUGCCUUACACAUGCAAGUCGAACGGCAGCAUGAUCUAGCUUGCUAGAUUGAUGGCGAGUGGCGAACGGGUGAGUAAUACAUCGGAACGUGCCCUGUAGUGGGGGAUAACUAGUCGAAAGAUUAGCUAAUACCGCAUACGACCUGAGGGUGAAAGUGGGGGACCGCAAGGCCUCAUGCUAUAGGAGCGGCCGAUGUCUGAUUAGCUAGUUGGUGGGGUAAAGGCCCGACCAAGGCGGCGAUCAGUAGCUGGUCUGAGAGGACGAUCAGCCACACUGGGACUGAGACACGGCCCAGACUCCUACGGGAGGCAGCAGUGGGAAUUUUGGACAAUGGGCGAAAGCCUGAUCCAGCAAUGCCGCGUGUGUG